Molecule: ribosomal RNA, 372 nt
Filed under: uncultured bacterium
Lineage: Bacteria
Description: bacterial SSU rRNA
Rfam family: Bacterial small subunit ribosomal RNA
Source: RNAcentral
AUACGUAGGAGGCGAGCGUUGUCCGGAAUUAUUGGGCGUAAAGGGUUCGCAGGUGGUUUUUUAAGUCAGAUGUGAAAGGUCACGGCUCAACCAUGGUAAGCAUUUGAAACUGGAAGACUUGAGUUAUGGAGAGGAAAGUGGAAUUCCUAGUGUAGCGGUGAAAUGCGUAGAUAUUAGGAGGAAUACCAGUGGCGAAGGCGACUUUCUGGACAUAUACUGACACUGAGGAACGAAAGCGUGGGGAGCAAACAGGAUUAGAUACCCUGGUAGUCCACGCCGUAAACGAUGAGUGCUAGGUGUUGGGGGUCAAACCUCGGUGCCGCAGCUAACGCAUUAAGCACUCCGCCUGGGGAGUACGUACGCAAGUAUGAA